UACAGAGGUCUCAAGCGUUGUUCGGAUUCAUUGGGCGUAAAGGGUGCGUAGGCGGCGUGGUAAGUCUGAUGUGAAAUCUCGGAGCUUAACUCCGAAACUGCAUUCGAUACUGCCGUGCUUGAGGACUGGAGAGGAGACUGGAAUUUACGGUGUAGCGGUGAAAUGCGCAGAUAUCGGGAAGAACACCCGUGGCGAAGGCGGCUCUCUGGGACGGUACUGACGCUGAGACGCGAAAGCGUGGGGAGCGAACAGG
This 253-nucleotide ribosomal RNA is filed under the name uncultured bacterium. Its description in RNAcentral is "partial 16S ribosomal RNA". It matches the Rfam family "Bacterial small subunit ribosomal RNA", at positions 524 to 776 of the family's 1533-position model. The record is from RNAcentral.